GCUGGUAUAGUUUAUUAAAAAUAUUUGUUUGUCUAACAAUAGAUGGCUAUUGCCUAUCGGUG
This 62-nucleotide transfer RNA is filed under the name Khawia sinensis. RNAcentral describes it as "tRNA-Asp". Lineage: Eukaryota; Metazoa; Platyhelminthes; Cestoda; Caryophyllidea; Lytocestidae. The record is from RNAcentral.